AGAGUUUGAUCCUGGCUCAGAUUGAACGCUGGCGGCAGGCCUAACACAUGCAAGUCGAGCGGUAGCACAGAGAGCUUGCUCUCGGGUGACGAGCGGCGGACGGGUGAGUAAUGUCUGGGAAACUGCCUGAUGGAGGGGGAUAACUACUGGAAACGGUAGCUAAUACCGCAUAAUGUCGCAAGACCAAAGUGGGGGACCUUCGGGCCUCAUGCCAUCAGAUGUGCCCAGAUGGGAUUAGCUAGUAGGUGGGGUAACGGCUCACCUAGGCGACGAUCCCUAGCUGGUCUGAGAGGAUGACCAGCCACACUGGAACUGAGACACGGUCCAGACUCCUACGGGAGGCAGCAGUGGGGAAUAUUGCACAAUGGGCGCAAGCCUGAUGCAGCCAUGCCGCGUGUAUGAAGAAGGCCUUCGGGUUGUAAAGUACUUUCAGCGGGGAGGAAGGCGAUAAGGUUAAUAACCUUGUCGAUUGACGUUACCCGCAGAAGAAGCACCGGCUAACUCCGUGCCAGCAGCCGCGGUAAUACGGAGGGUGCAAGCGUUAAUCGGAAUUACUGGGCGUAAAGCGCACGCAGGCGGUCUGUCAAGUCGGAUGUGAAAUCCCCGGGCUCAACCUGGGAACUGCAUUCGAAACUGGCAGGCUAGAGUCUUGUAGAGGGGGGUAGAAUUCCAGGUGUAGCGGUGAAAUGCGUAGAGAUCUGGAGGAAUACCGGUGGCGAAGGCGGCCCCCUGGACAAAGACUGACGCUCAGGUGCGAAAGCGUGGGGAGCAAACAGGAUUAGAUACCCUGGUAGUCCACGCCGUAAACGAUGUCGAUUUGGAGGUUGUGCCCUUGAGGCGUGGCUUCCGGAGCUAACGCGUUAAAUCGACCGCCUGGGGAGUACGGCCGCAAGGUUAAAACUCAAAUGAAUUGACGGGGGCCCGCACAAGCGGUGGAGCAUGUGGUUUAAUUCGAUGCAACGCGAAGAACCUUACCUGGUCUUGACAUCCACAGAACUUAGCAGAGAUGCUUUGGUGCCUUCGGGAACUGUGAGACAGGUGCUGCAUGGCUGUCGUCAGCUCGUGUUGUGAAAUGUUGGGUUAAGUCCCGCAACGAGCGCAACCCUUAUCCUUUGUUGCCAGCGGUUCGGCCGGGAACUCAAAGGAGACUGCCAGUGAUAAACUGGAGGAAGGUGGGGAUGACGUCAAGUCAUCAUGGCCCUUACGACCAGGGCUACACACGUGCUACAAUGGCAUAUACAAAGAGAAGCGACCUCGCGAGAGCAAGCGGACCUCAUAAAGUAUGUCGUAGUCCGGAUUGGAGUCUGCAACUCGACUCCAUGAAGUCGGAAUCGCUAGUAAUCGUAGAUCAGAAUGCUACGGUGAAUACGUUCCCGGGCCUUGUACACACCGCCCGUCACACCAUGGGAGUGGGUUGCAAAAGAAGUAGGUAGCUUAACCUUCGGGAGGGCGCUUACCACUUUGUGAUUCAUGACUGGGGUGAAGUCGUAACAAGGUAGCCGUA
RNAcentral lists this ribosomal RNA (1504 nucleotides) under Klebsiella sp. RNAcentral describes it as "bacterial SSU rRNA". It matches the Rfam family "Bacterial small subunit ribosomal RNA". The record is from RNAcentral. Lineage: Bacteria; Pseudomonadati; Pseudomonadota; Gammaproteobacteria; Enterobacterales; Enterobacteriaceae.